Penaeus monodon (black tiger shrimp) is the source of this 634-nucleotide long non-coding RNA. RefSeq lists it as uncharacterized. The transcript has 2 exons. The record is from RefSeq and is a predicted model, not a curated record. NCBI's taxonomy places the organism in Eukaryota, Metazoa, Arthropoda, Malacostraca, Decapoda, Penaeidae.
GAAGACGCGCGUCCGGUAGUUAAAGGAGGCGGAAUGUGAUCGUAAAAAAAAAGUAAAGGAACUCAUAAAAAUGAGUUUUAUUCCAGCGACACUCCGCCAGACUCCGCCCCUCUGCCGCCGCUUCCUCGGCCAUCGAGGUCCUCCAGCAGUGCGCUUUGGACAGCCGCUUCUCCGCCACGGAAACCAUAUUCCAAUACUUGAGGGAAAAAAGGAUCCAAUCUGCCAAUUCCAACAAGGGGCCCAGCGGGGAGGCGAGGCGCUGAAGGGAACAGCGGGGGGGAAGGAGACGGGAAGGAACAGCCACUGACUCAUCGCAUAUGGCGGCGUCUCAGCGGUUGCCGAAUGGCCGACUUCCCCGCCCAUUUUCGGGAUCUUAAACUGCUCUUUUAGGUGCGUAGUGUUCGUAAAAAUUUCCCGCAGUUUCUUUUAAAUGAGAUUUGACACUGGUUGUCAUAGAAUUAUGUGAAAAAUAGAAUUUCAAUAUUCAGUGAGAACUUUUUUCCUUUUUUUUCGGAAAUAUACUUCGUUGGUGAAACUUUUAUUAUGGUCCUAUUGACUGUAAGAAGCUGUGAUGUGCGUUUUACUGGACAGGUAAAAUGUUCAUAUACUUGGCCAAAUAAAGAUUUUAAAUUCA